UACAGAGGGUGCGAGCGUUAAUCGGAAUUACUGGGCGUAAAGCGUGCGUAGACGGUUAUCUAAGUCGGAUGUGAAAGCCCCGGGCUCAACCUGGGAAUUGCAUUCGAGACUGAAUAGCUAGGGUACGGUAGAGGGAAGUGGAAUUUCCGGUGUAGCGGUGAAAUGCGUAGAUAUCGGAAGGAACAUCAGUGGCGAAAGCGACUUCCUGGACCAGUACCGACGUUCAGGCACGAGAGCGUGGGGAGCAAACAGG
This 253-nucleotide ribosomal RNA is filed under the name uncultured bacterium. Its description in RNAcentral is "partial 16S ribosomal RNA". It matches the Rfam family "Bacterial small subunit ribosomal RNA", at positions 524 to 776 of the family's 1533-position model. The record is from RNAcentral.